Molecule: ribosomal RNA, 465 nt
Filed under: uncultured Klebsiella sp.
Lineage: Bacteria; Pseudomonadati; Pseudomonadota; Gammaproteobacteria; Enterobacterales; Enterobacteriaceae
Description: bacterial SSU rRNA
Rfam family: Bacterial small subunit ribosomal RNA
Source: RNAcentral
CCUACGGGCGGCAGCAGUGGGGAAUAUUGCACAAUGGGCGCAAGCCUGAUGCAGCCAUGCCGCGUGUGUGAAGAAGGCCUUCGGGUUGUAAAGCACUUUCAGCGGGGAGGAAGGCGGUGAGGUUAAUAACCUCAUCGAUUGACGUUACCCGCAGAAGAAGCACCGGCUAACUCCGUGCCAGCAGCCGCGGUAAUACGGAGGGUGCAAGCGUUAAUCGGAAUUACUGGGCGUAAAGCGCACGCAGGCGGUCUGUCAAGUCGGAUGUGAAAUCCCCGGGCUCAACCUGGGAACUGCAUUCGAAACUGGCAAGCUAGAGUCUUGUAGAGGGGGGUAGAAUUCCAGGUGUAGCGGUGAAAUGCGUAGAGAUCUGGAGGAAUACCGGUGGCGAAGGCGGCCCCCUGGACAAAGACUGACGCUCAGGUGCGAAAGCGUGGGGAGCAAACAGGAUUAGAUACCCCUGUAGUC